CCCUAGCCCUGAUAGCAGUGAAAAUCCUUUUAUUUUUUCUUUAAAAAAUAAAAGAUUGUAACGGAUAGCAGGAAAUAGC
RNAcentral lists this small RNA (79 nucleotides) under Flavobacterium urumqiense. Its description in RNAcentral is "Flavo-1 RNA". It matches the Rfam family "Flavo-1 RNA". The record is from RNAcentral. Lineage: Bacteria; Pseudomonadati; Bacteroidota; Flavobacteriia; Flavobacteriales; Flavobacteriaceae.